This is a long non-coding RNA of Oenanthe melanoleuca, 1298 nucleotides long. RefSeq lists it as uncharacterized. The transcript has 3 exons. The record is from RefSeq and is a predicted model, not a curated record. Lineage: Eukaryota; Metazoa; Chordata; Aves; Passeriformes; Muscicapidae.
CCGGGUGUGUGUCCGUGUGCGCGCCCUGAGCCGCACACAGCGGCUGCGGGCUGGAGGGCUCCGUCCUGUGUGUGCAGCCUGGGCUAUGGAAAUGUGAGACCUUGAAAUAAAACAUGAGAAGAUGAAGGGGUUGGACAAAUUCAGCUGGAGGAGAGAGACUGAGCUGCUGUCUAAAAAGCAGCCAGCGGAGGCUAAUGAGACCUUUGGGGCGUCUUGCGAGGAUCGCCUCCGCGUUACCUUCCCACCACCCGAGUCGCUCUAAGGGCAGCAUCGCCCGGAUAACACAUGUAGCUCGGAGCUUCUCCUCCUCUAACACCCCGUGGGUCGCCUUUCACCGGGGACAGGGACACACACACACACAGGCACAUCCGCACAAGCACAGAGUUGAUCCCUGCACCUCCAGGAAAAUAAAUAAAUAAAUAGCCACCACGCGAAACCUUCCCUCCACCUCUGCCCUUUUGCGAGAACACUCCUUCUAUCUAAAAGUUUCCGAAAGAAAAUAAAUACAAGUGACACAGUGGUGGGGGAAAGCUCAUUAGUUCGUUGUCCAAGUCUAAUAAAAGAACAGAAGUGCAAAUUAUAGAGUUCAGCUUCAACACACGCUCUGUCAACUAAAAUCAACCGAGUGCAGCCUUGAUUCAAAUAGCUGCGAAGUUGGUCCGCAAUUCAAAACCACCUUCCCCCUCCUCCCUUCCCCUUCCCACCUCCACCCUCCGCCCUGCCGCAGGGACAUUUGGUUGGAAAAAUAUUGUUCCAAGGAAGGUAAUGAUAAAGCUUAACAUUAGGAAGAGGAGUGCGCAAACUCAUUUCCCCAUCGGUAAUCCCAAUAAAAGGAGCGUGGUGCUUGGCAGGGAAGGGCUGGGACGGGGGCUGCGUGUGUGUGUGGAUGAGGUGGGGGGAGGAGGGACAGGACUCCUGAAAUAACAUCUUCUUUCCAGCAAGGUAGAAGAAGAAACGGCCCCUUUGUUUUGAUAAUUAGCUAAGCCCAAACUAGGAAAGCAGAUGUGUUUGCUUAGCUAAUCAUAAGACAAGUUUCUUUCAAAGAACUUCAUUGAGCGAUGGCAAUUCUGAAGGAAGGAGAAGGAUUUCAUUUUCCUCUCUCCCUUGCCUCCCACCCCUCUCUAUUUUUAUUAUUAUUUUUUUCCCCUAUACUUCUAAUAUGAUAGAAACGCUUCCGAUUACCUAGAUGGGAAGAAAGCAAACCCUCUUCAUCAUAACACCGGGCUCGCCCCCGGAGCAGCGCAGCCACCUCGGGCUCUCCCUGCUGCACGUUACCAGCCAGAUCUGUUGACAUUUUA